This 262-nucleotide long non-coding RNA is filed under the name Elaeis guineensis (African oil palm). Its description in RNAcentral is "long non-coding RNA (EGUI_LNC018969)". The record is from RNAcentral. Lineage: Eukaryota; Viridiplantae; Streptophyta; Magnoliopsida; Arecales; Arecaceae.
UGAGUCGACAUAGCGUGCUUAUGCAAUCGAUGUAGAGUCGGAGUUGGGGGUCGGCUGACUUAUCCAAACAGUUGCCUCUCACUCUCAAGUCCAAGGUGGCUUGACGUGUAUUUCAUCACGUGGCCUGUCACAUUGGACGAAGGGAGUUGUCACAUAUCACCUCUAGCUCUGACUUGAUUGUAAGUCACUUGAGUACGAGGGUUCUUCGACGGUUUUGUCAUUUCUAUAGCUGUAGAACUAUCAUUAGACUGUCAUAUUGACA